RNAcentral lists this ribosomal RNA (253 nucleotides) under uncultured bacterium. RNAcentral's name for it is "partial 16S ribosomal RNA". It matches the Rfam family "Bacterial small subunit ribosomal RNA", at positions 524 to 776 of the family's 1533-position model. The record is from RNAcentral.
UACGAACUGUGCAAACGUUAUUCGGAAUCACUGGGCUUAAAGGGUGCGUAGGCGGCCAUUUAAGUAGGGUGUGAAAGCCCCCGGCUCAACCGGGGAAUUGCGUCCUAAACUGGCUGGCUAGAGUGAGAUAGAGGUGUGUGGAACUUCCGGUAGAGCGGUGAAAUGUGUUGAUAUCGGAAGGAACGCCGGUGGCGAAAGCGACACACUGGGUCUCAACUGACGCUGAGGCACGAAAGCCAGGGGAGCGAACGGG